Molecule: ribosomal RNA, 455 nt
Filed under: uncultured bacterium
Lineage: Bacteria
Description: SSU rRNA
Rfam family: Bacterial small subunit ribosomal RNA
Source: RNAcentral
AGGAUGAACGCUGGCGGCGUGCCUAAUACAUGCAAGUCGAGCGGUAAGGCCACUUCGGUGGUACACGAGCGGCGGACGGCUGAGUAACACGUAGGAACGUACCCCAAACUGAGGGAUAAGCACCAGAAAAUGGUGUCUAAUACCGCAUGUGCUCUUCGGAGUAAAGCUACGGCGGUUUGGAACGGCCUGCGUAAGAUUAGCUUGUUGGUGAGGUAAUAGCUCACCAAGGCGACGAUCUUUAGCUGGUCUGAGAGGAUGACCAGCCAGACUGGGACUGAGAACGGCCCAGACUCCUACGGGAGGCAGCAGUAGGGAAUUUUCCACAAUGGGCGAAAGCCUGAUGGAGCAACGCCGCGUGCAGGAUGAAUGUCUUCGGAUUGUAAACUGCUUUUCUCUGUGACGAAUAUGACGGUAGCAGAGGAAUAAGGACCUGCUAACUACGUGCCAGCAGCCGC